Molecule: small nuclear RNA, 107 nt
Organism: Callithrix jacchus (white-tufted-ear marmoset)
Lineage: Eukaryota; Metazoa; Chordata; Mammalia; Primates; Cebidae
Source: Ensembl
GUGCUGGCUUUGGCAGCACCUACACUAAAAUUGGGAUGAUACACAGAAGGCUGGCAUGUCUGCCACGCAAGGAUGACACGCAAAAAUGUGCUGCGUUCUGCAAUUUU